Molecule: ribosomal RNA, 253 nt
Filed under: uncultured bacterium
Lineage: Bacteria
Description: partial 16S ribosomal RNA
Rfam family: Bacterial small subunit ribosomal RNA
Source: RNAcentral
UACAGAGGGUGCAAGCGUUGUUCGGAAUUAUUGGGCGUAAAGGGAGUGUAGGCGGCUUGUUAAGUCUUCUGUGAAAUCUACGGGCUCAGCCUGUAAAGUGCAGAGGAAACUGGCGAGCUUGAGUGUCGGAGAGGAUAGGGGAAUACCCGGUGUAGAGGUGAAAUUCGUAGAGAUCGGGUGGAACACCAGUGGCGAAGGCGCCUAUCUGGCUGACAACUGACGCUGAGGAGCGAAAGCGUGGGGAGCAAACAGG